RNAcentral lists this ribosomal RNA (534 nucleotides) under uncultured bacterium. RNAcentral describes it as "bacterial SSU rRNA". It matches the Rfam family "Bacterial small subunit ribosomal RNA", at positions 777 to 1304 of the family's 1533-position model. The record is from RNAcentral.
AAUAGAUACCCGGGUAGUCCACGCCGUAAACGGUGGGCACUAGGUGUGGGCGACAUUCCACGUCGUCCGUGCCGCAGCUAACGCAUUAAGUGCCCCGCCUGGGGAGUACGGCCGCAAGGCUAAAACUCAAAGGAAUUGACGGGGGCCCGCACAAGCGGCGGAGCAUGUGGCUUAAUUCGACGCAACGCGAAGAACCUUACCAAGGCUUGACAUACACCGGAAACGUCCAGAGAUGGGCGCCCCCUUGUGGUCGGUGUACAGGUGGUGCAUGGCUGUCGUCAGCUCGUGUCAUGAGAUGUUGGGUUAAGUCCCGCAACGAGCGCAACCCUUGUCCCGUGUUGCCAGCAGGCCCUUGUGGUGCUGGGGACUCACGGGAGACCGCCGGGGUCAACUCGGAGGAAGGUGGGGACGACGUCAAGUCAUCAUGCCCCUUAUGUCUUGGGCUGCACACGUGCGUACAAUGGCCGGUACAAUGAGCUGCGAUACCGCGAGGUGAGCGAAUCUCAAAAAGCCGGUCUCAGUUCGGAUUGGGGU